RNAcentral lists this ribosomal RNA (478 nucleotides) under uncultured bacterium. RNAcentral describes it as "partial 16S ribosomal RNA". It matches the Rfam family "Bacterial small subunit ribosomal RNA", at positions 28 to 507 of the family's 1533-position model. The record is from RNAcentral.
GAUGAACGCUAGCGGCAGGCCUAACACAUGCGAGUCGAGGGAGAAGCCCUUUCGGGGGCAGAAACCGGCGCACGGGUGCGUAACGCGUAUGCAACCUACCUUUCACAGGGGGAUAGCCCGAAGAAAUUUGGAUUAAUACCCCAUAAUAUUAUUGGAUGGCAUCAUUUGAUAAUUAAAACUGCGGUGGUGAAAGAUGGGCAUGCGUCCUAUUAGCUAGUUGGAGUGGUAACGGCACCCCAAGGCUACGAUAGGUAGGGGUCCUGAGAGGGAGAUCCCCCACACUGGUACUGAGACAGGGACCAGACUCCUACGGGAGGCAGCAGUGAGGAAUAUUGGUCAAUGGUCGGAAGACUGAACCAGCCAUGCCGCGUGCAGGAAGAAUGCCUUAUGGGUUGUAAACUGCUUUUAUAUGGGAAGAAUAAGGCGUACGUGUACGUUGAUGACGGUACCAUAUGAAUAAGCAUCGGCUAACUCCGUG